This 520-nucleotide ribosomal RNA is filed under the name uncultured Glomeromycotina. RNAcentral describes it as "SSU rRNA". It matches the Rfam family "Eukaryotic small subunit ribosomal RNA", at positions 569 to 1091 of the family's 1831-position model. The record is from RNAcentral. Lineage: Eukaryota; Fungi; Glomeromycota.
AGCAGCCGCGGUAAUUCCAGCUCCAAUAGCGUAUAUUAAAGUUGUUGCAGUUAAAAAGCUCGUAGUUGAAUUUCGGGAUUAGUACGCUGGUCAUGCCUUUGGUAUGUACUGGUGUUACUGGUUUCUACCUUCUGAAGAACCGUUAUGUCAUUUAUUUGGUGUGGCGGGAAAAUCAGGACUGUUACUUUGAAAAAAUUAGAGUGUUUAAAGCAGGCUCGCGCUUGAAUACAUUAGCAUGGAAUAAUGAAAUAGGACGUUUGACCCUAUUUUGUUGGUUUCUAGGAUCGACGUAAUGAUUAAUAGGGAUAGUUGGGGGCAUUAGUAUUCAAUUGUCAGAGGUGAAAUUCUUGGGUUUAUUGAAGACUAACUACUGCGAAAGCAUUUGCCAAGGAUGUUUUCAUUAAUCAAGAACGAAAGUUAGGGGAUCGAAGACGAUCAGAUACCGUCGUAGUCUUAACCAUAAACUAUGCCGACUAGGGAUCGGAUGAUGUUAUUUUUAAUGACUCAUUCGGCGCCUUAC